GAGGGGCUCAACAAUUUCUUGCGACAGAAGGUUCGAAUGCUCCAGCUCACUCCAAGCCAAGAUGGGAAGCACGCUGUACAACGAGAGCAGAUUUAAUUUCAGAGCAAUGCAGAAAUCAGCCAACGUUAUAUAAAGGCAUGACUGACCAGAAGAAGCAACAAUAUCAACAUCAUUCUCUGCAUAACAUAGAGGUGGCAGCUUUGGCUGACCUACAGAUGCUCUAGACCAGGAACUGAUCAAGACCGACUCUGAAAGCAUGGUGGAACAUCCGCUUAUAGUUGCACACCAGUCUGACUUGUUAUCGCAGCCGACAUUGUCAUCAAACUUUGUUAACAAAACUUCUUAAACGGGGCUCACGCAUGUACGUAUUUGCCCAAUUCACAACCAAGGCUGCCUCCAAGUUUCUGUGCUUGUUUUCAACACUGUUCUCCCUGCUCUUGUAUCAUGUGAGUAGCGCCUCACACUUCUGACUGGUUCUGCUCUUUCCUCCUACUCAAAACCAGGCACUGAAACCAUACUCUUUUCAUGGCAAAAUUAUCAACAGCCAGUCUGUUGAACUGACUCUAUGCACAAUCUUAGAAACGCAACUCUACCGAUGCCAUUGGGACGAUGUCUCCUAGACCACCGAACUCCGCCACUGCUUCCUACUGUCCUCUGCCAAUGUUCACCCUGUUGAAAGUGAUGUCCUUCAUAGCUGUUUCCUUGAAAACUUGUGCUUGUCAUGCCCCCGACAACGAGCGCAGCAGCAACACCUGCCUCCAAUCAAGAAGAUACAGGGUGAAAGGAGCUCCGCAUCCACACACCGAUGCGGAUUCUUGCAAUCGCUCUGUGCCUUUGCAGUCUCAGCGUCUUUGUUCAGCGUUUGUACCUAGCCUGCUCUUGUGUCUUGACCCUUGCCUGUUCUCUCUUUGACCACCGAGUUUGGAUUGCCCGUCUUGCCACGUUCGUCCCUGGAUUGACCCACACUGUUCUUGACACCGAUCUUGCCUUGUCCCUUGAACCUGACCUACGAGAUUAAAGUCCAAUCCGCAACUGGGUCCACAGACUUACCUGCGUCCAGUCCUCGU
Long non-coding RNA from Scleropages formosus (Asian bonytongue), 1067 nucleotides. RefSeq lists it as uncharacterized. The transcript is spliced from 3 exons. Lineage: Eukaryota; Metazoa; Chordata; Actinopteri; Osteoglossiformes; Osteoglossidae. The record is from RefSeq and is a predicted model, not a curated record.